GACGAACGCUGGCGGCGUGCUUAACACAUGCAAGUCGAACGGAAAGGCCCUGCUUUUGUGGGGUGCUCGAGUGGCGAACGGGUGAGUAACACGUGAGUAACCUGCCCUUGACUUUGGGAUAACUUCAGGAAACUGGGGCUAAUACCGGAUAGGAGCUCCUGCUGCAUGGUGGGGGUUGGAAAGUUUCGGCGGUUGGGGAUGGACUCGCGGCUUAUCAGCUUGUUGGUGGGGUAGUGGCUUACCAAGUCUUUGACGGGUAGCCGGCCUGGGAGGGUGACCGGCCACAUUGGGACUGAGAUACGGCCCAGACUCCUACGGGAGGCAGCAGUGGGGAAUAUUGCACAAUGGGCGGAAGCCUGAUGCAGCAACGCCGCGUGCGGGAUGACGGCCUUCGGGUUGUAAACCGCUUUCGCCUGUGACGAAGCGUGAGUGACGGUAAUGGGUAAAGAAGCACCGGCUAACUACGUG
This 468-nucleotide ribosomal RNA is filed under the name uncultured bacterium. RNAcentral's name for it is "partial 16S ribosomal RNA". It matches the Rfam family "Bacterial small subunit ribosomal RNA", at positions 28 to 507 of the family's 1533-position model. The record is from RNAcentral.